UUUCCGCGGCCGGUGCCGGGGCCGCGCGCCCUCCUGAGCGGGACGGAGCGGAGGGGCCCUGCGGUGCGCAGCGGCCCGCACGGCGGCGGCUCUCAGACUGCCGAGCGGGAAGCCUCCGCGGACCACUCCAACCGGGCCUCGGGGCCUCCUUUUUUAUUUUUUUGAAACGGACUCCGAGUGCGGAGUUCUCCUGGCCCCGCGCCUCGGUUGAAGGAUCACCGCCGCGGUAGAGCUGUUUCCCGACCCCCGCUCCACAGCCACCACCCACGCCGAAACCAAACCACCACCAACAAAAAAUCCAGCUUUGGGCCCCUCUUUUGGAAUCUCUAGCGCAGCACGGAACUCUUCACCCCGCCUCGCAGGGUCCAGACUAGGUGACAGGAAACAUUUGAGGGAAAGACUGUUUGAGGUGGUGCAGUGAGGAAGAAAGACGGUAAUGGGGGCAUGACCGGGCCUCACCCGACCAAGCCGAUGGCCAACGCAGCAGAGAGCCCGCGGUACUGCUCUGAACGCUAUUUGAUCCAGGCCGCCCCUUGCACCCGGAUGUUCUUCCUUGUUGGAACCUGCCACGUCAUGGCGGGAGAAGAUUCUACGUCACCCUACCUUGACCCUUCAUCCACCUCAGGAAAGCAUUGGGGUCAACCGCCCUGCUUCUGAAAGUCAAGGGACAUUUGACUCAAACCAGCCUUGUCCAGUUCCUGGAAUUGUGGGCCUGCAAGUUUUGGAGUGGGGUAGAAGUCAGUGAAGAAGAUAUGACACCAGGGACCCCAGUAUACAGGUGAAGCUAUUUGCUCCUAAUGCUAAGCAGAUGUACAUGGUUAAUCACUUGAAAGAGAGCCCAGCAGAAGAGAAGGGACAUGUGCUGGAGGGAAGUGCCAGGAGAGCCCAUGGGGACAUACAAGAUUUGGCAGACCUGUGCUCCAGCAAGCUUGAUGCUGUCAUUAUACUGGUGGUUUUGAGUGGCCCAGAACUGCCCUGUCAACAGUUCUGUAAAGGACUCUUUCAAGUUACAUUUCCCAUGUGCUGGCAGCUAACACCUUCCUGCUUGUGAGGUCACAGUGUGUCAGGGUAAUAAUGUAAUUGGAGUGGGGGAAAAGAAUGAAAAGCUUACUGCUGGCCAAGAGGUUCUACAGUACUUUCCCAUUUUCCUUCCUCCAAAUGAAUAUAAAUGUGACUGCUCUUCUGGUAGCUCAACAAAUGAUCUUUCAUUUUGGGGCUGCCAUAUUUGAUCAGUGUUGGGCUGUUCUGAUGGCUCUUUGCGGAAUCUCCAGAUUUGCUCCUGUAAGGACACCAGCGGUAACUGGAAGAAUACACACCUUUUUCUGCAGAAGGGAGAGGAGAUGCUGUUGCUCUGUCUUACACUAUGAUCCAGAGAAGAGCCCGGGGAUGGAGUCUGAAUUUAUUCUUAUGUAUUCGUUGAGGGUUAACACCAGGGAAGGUGGACUAAUUGUGUGCACCAGAUGAGGAAACUGAGGUGGAGAGAGUUGAGUGACUUGCCCAAGGUCACCCAACUAGGACAUGGUAGAGCCAGGACGUAGAGACAGGCAGUUUGGCUCCAGACACUAUACUAAGCCACACUAAAUGCAAUGGUGAUGGAUUUGUGGGAGAUGGUGGGCCAGACAAGAAUCACAGUGUGGAGUCAUGGACCUGGAUUCUGUGAUUUGCCCCAACUACAGGAACACAGUGAGGUAAUCUGCUUUGAACGACCGUGGAUGUGUUCCAAAGGCUUUGUCCCCUUUGCCAUUUUAACAGAGAAGAAGAGAGAGCCCAGGGAGGAGGGGCAGAGGGAGAGGGAGAGAGAGAAUCCUAAGCAGAUGCCAGGCUCAGCACAGCAGCCCACAUACCACCUCCAGCUGAAAUCAAGAGCCUGCUACUCUACCUACUGUGCCACCAGGCGCCCCAGGUAUACACAUGUGAGCUGUGGAGCAAUAUCACAGUUGCCAUUUGGGUUGGUGCUCUUCCUGCCCUGCCCUCUUUAGGCUUGGUUCUUUAUCAUUUCCUGGUUUAGGCUCCUGAGUUGGGCACAGAGAGGAAGUCACUGUCUUUGGAUUUUAAGAACACCUGGAGUUCCCUUAUACUCCCUUUAUGGCACCUUACCUCUGUCCACUGCUACCUAGACUUUCCCUCCUAGAUGUUGCCAACGGCUGAACUUUUAGUUCGGAAUAAAACUAAGCUAUUUUAUUAAUUGUCAUCCAUGUUGCAAAGUCUAGGAUGACAAAUAAGCUCCGAAAUAGAAACUUCCAAGCUGUCUAGAUUUUGACUAAAUCUUUGAACCAGUGAGCAAAUUUAUGUUGGAAAUGACUGACUUCUGGGAAGAAGAGGCAACAGCAGAUGAAAUGCCAUUGAUCCUGCCCAUUUUAGACACUACGGAUACUAUGAGAGAUGUUACCUAAGAGAAAAAGUAAUAAAACUCUCAAGGUAAGCCUAAUCAGCAAGGAACUGUUUGGAUUAUAGAAGCGCAGUGGAGACAGGAAUGGGAAGGUGGCAGUAGAAACUUAGGUUUAUAAUGUGCCCGUUAUGUGCCAGACACUGUGAAAUGACAUGCUUUAGAUCAUCUCAUUUAAUCCACAAGAGUCCAACAAGGUAUGCAUUUUUGCUCCAUUUUAAGAUAAAGAGCUGAAAUUCACAAUAUCUAAAUAAUUUGCCCCAAAUCUUAGAUUUCAAAUAACAAAGACCGGAGAAGAAUAUAGGUUCAUCUAACUGCAAAGUGUAUGAUUUUCGCACCUAUACUUGAAGAAAAGAACCUUACUUUCUAAACAUAAAUCAUAAUAGGCAAUAUCAUUUUAAAGUUUAGCAGAGUUUGAGGCCAUUUCCCUACUGUGAAAUAUCAAGCAUAUUUCCGCAGUAACUGGAAAGCAAAUUAGGGAAAGGUCCCUCUCCCCCACUUAAUUAUAUCAAACAAAUGAUCUUACAAUUAUAUAAGAAGUCGCCCAUUACAGUCUAGCCAGUGGCUUGGCUUCUUGUCCAAACCUCACAGUGAAAUAUGCAGACUUUCCGGAACCACAUAUUAAAAUCUCUGUGGUUGAAUCAGUCCUUCUUCUUUUCUGCAUAACCUAACCUCAAUACUAUUCAAUAUAUAGAGAACUCUGGGGAUGAGAUCCUUAAAACCCAGUGUCAAAAGGUGAAUACCUGAUAAUCAUCACCUUAGUUUCACACUCGUGAAAACUGGCUUAGUCCUAAUUUAUUCUCAGACACAUGGGUCUGUUUUGCAGCGACGUGCCUUGUUUUAUAGCCUUGUAAAAAGAAACUGACCCCAAAUUUGUUAUUAGUAUAAAGUAAUGCAAUGAUGUUCUUGUGUAAACUGGCUUUGAAGAAUAUUCCUCAACUGAUAUGCCAAAAAUGGUGAGUGAUCUGACAUUUCUCAAGCAUAUAGUCUCCAAGGUGAUUAUUUUGAAUGACAACCCUCAUGUGGGGUGUUAAAUUGAGUAGAUUUGACAGGGCUGCUGUAGAGCUGAAAGAGCACUGAAUGUUGAGUCAGGAAGCAUCUGUUGGCAUCCCUGCCCUGCAUUCAGCUACCUGAGAGACACCAUUUGCAUUCUGUUGCUAUCUGAGGGGUGGUGGAAGUCACCUAACCUUUCUGAACUUCUUUCCUCAUUUGUGACACUGUUGGAUGACACCCGCUGACACUGUUGUGAUAAUCAAGUGAAGCUGACAGUAUGAAAGUGCUCAGAACAGUGAGGCAGUAGAAUAGAAUGUGAUAACUCACUCAUAGUUAACCUCCAGGUGAAGUACCACAAUCUGAAACCAAGGCCUCCAAGUUCUUGGGAAACAUCAGUGAUGUUAAUAAUUAGCCUUGGUAAAAAAAAAAAAAAAAAAAAAAAAAAAAUAAUAAUAAUUAGCC
This is an RNA transcript of Canis lupus familiaris (dog), 3841 nucleotides long. RefSeq lists it as uncharacterized. The record is from RefSeq and is a predicted model, not a curated record. The transcript has 10 exons. NCBI's taxonomy places the organism in Eukaryota, Metazoa, Chordata, Mammalia, Carnivora, Canidae.